This 98-nucleotide ribosomal RNA is filed under the name uncultured bacterium. RNAcentral's name for it is "partial 16S ribosomal RNA". The record is from RNAcentral.
CCGCGUGCAGGAAGAAGUCUCUGCGGAGUGUAAACUGCUUUUACCAGGGUAAGAGUACGGACGGUACCUGGAGAAUACAGCCCCGGCUAACUACGUGC